Molecule: small RNA, 411 nt
Filed under: Pan troglodytes (chimpanzee)
Lineage: Eukaryota; Metazoa; Chordata; Mammalia; Primates; Hominidae
Description: retained intron
Source: RNAcentral
GGGAGGGGGGCACAAUUCAGUCCAUAACAGUGAGACAACAACAGUGUUGUCAGGCAUUGCCGGAUGACAGUGUAAAAAAUACUCUAGUGACUACAGGCCGGAAAAGAGUUCCUGCGUCAUGAAGAACGUGUAUCACAGCUCUUAGCUACCAGCCUGGGUAUCUCAAAUGUUUAUGUUAACAUUUGGUACUUCUCUUUCUCUUAGUGUCGUGUGGGAGCCAAUGGGAGAUGGGAAGAAAAUCAUUUCCUUGGCUGAUAACCAUAUCCUGCUGUGGGAUUUACAGGAAAGCUCGAGCCAGGCUGUGCUGGCCAGCUCAGCAUCCCUGGAAGGGAAGGGACAACUGAAGUUCACCUCAGGACGGUGGAGCCCACAUCAUAACUGCACCCAGGUGGCCACAGCGAACGACACCAC